AUGCCUGUACCAUAACCGACACAGGUGGGUAGGUAGAGUAUACUAAGGGGCGCGAGAUAACUCUCUCUAAGGAACUCGGCAAAAUGACUCCGUAACUUCGGGAGAAGGAGUGCCUUAUUUAUAAGGUUGCAAUAACAAGAUCCAAGCAACUGUUUAUCAAAAACACAGGUCUCCGCUAAGUCGUAAGACGAUGUAUGGGGGCUGACGCCUGCCCAGUGCCAGAAGGUUAAAGAAGUUGGUUAGUGUAUGCGAAGCUGAUGACUGAAGCCCUGGUGAACGGCGGCCGUAACUAUAACGGUCCUAAGGUAGCGAAAUUCCUUGUCGGGUAAGUUCCGACCCGCACGAAAGGCGUAAUGAUUUGGAUACUGUCUCGGAGAGAGGCUCGGUGAAAUAGACUUGUCUGUGAAGAUGCGGACUACCUGCACCAGGACAGAAAGACCCUAUGAAGCUUUACUGUAACUUGAAAUUGGAAUUGGACUUUGCUUGCGCAGUAUAGGUGGGAAGCGUUGAAGAUAUUCUUGCGGGAGUAUUGGAGCUAUCAGUGAGAUACCACUCUUGUAAUGUUAGAUUUCUAACUUUGAACCAUAAUCUGGUCAAAGAACAGUUUCAGGUGGGCAGUUUGACUGGGGCGGUCGCCUCCCAAAUGGUAACGGAGGCGUACAAAGGUUUCCUCUGAACGGAUAGAAAUCGUAUCUAGAGUGUAAAGGCAUAAGGAAGCUUGACUGUGAGACCUACAAGUCGAGCAGGGACGAAAGUCGGUCUUAGUGAUCUGACGGUACUGAGUGGAAAGGCCGUCGCUCAACGGAUAAAAGUUACUCUAAGGAUAACAGGCUGAUCUCCCCCAAGAGUUCACAUCGACGGGGAGGUUUGGCACCUCGAUGUCGGCUCAUCGCAUCCUGGGGCGGUAGUACGUCCCAAGGGUUGGGCUGUUCGCCCAUGAAAGCGGUACGCGAGCUGGGUUCAGAACGUCGUGAGACAGUUCGGUCCAUAUCCGGUGUAGGCGUUAGAAUAUUGAGAGGAGCCUUCUUUAGUACGAGAGGACCGAGAAGGACACACCGCUGGUGUACCAGUUAUCGUGCCAACGGUAAACGCUGGGUAGCUAUGUGUGGAGUGGAUAACCGCUGAAAGCAUCUAAGUGGGAAGCCCACCUCAAGAUGAGUAUUCUCAUCACUAUAAGUGAGUAAGGUCACGGUAAGACUAACCGUUUGAUAGGCAUUAAGUGUAAAUGUAGUAAUGCAUGUGCUGAGAUGUCCUAACAGACCGAGGAC
RNAcentral lists this ribosomal RNA (1268 nucleotides) under metagenome. Its description in RNAcentral is "bacterial LSU rRNA". It matches the Rfam family "Bacterial large subunit ribosomal RNA", at positions 1638 to 2925 of the family's 2925-position model. The record is from RNAcentral.